Homo sapiens (human) is the source of this 1497-nucleotide long non-coding RNA. Ensembl annotates it as cancer susceptibility 15. Its record names the gene CASC15. NCBI's taxonomy places the organism in Eukaryota, Metazoa, Chordata, Mammalia, Primates, Hominidae. The record is from Ensembl.
GCAAUGGAGAACAUUUACAGAGGACUGUGGGUAAAGCAAAGUCUUCAAGGGAAGAUAACAAAGGAUGAAACAAUGGUGUUGUGUGACUUCCUAGUGUGAAUCAUGGCAAUACAGUGAAAGACAGUGAUUUACUGCUUUUGAGGGCGUGCAUGUAUAUGAUUAACGGAUGGAAGUGCAGGACUCCAAGAUUUACUUCCUUCCCUUUCCAGCAGAAUUACCUGAGACGAGUAAAAUCUACUGGUGGAGUCACUCCAUUAUUCUUAUCUGUGGAGAUCUAGAUCUUGAUUUGAAAGUUUCUGAGAAAAUCUUCAGCUCAGACUUGAGGGUCAACUUUACCAGCUGAAGGAUCUGCAUUUACUGCUCAACCACAUCUAAUUUGAUGUCCUCUGCAGAUUUAAAAUGUGUGCCUUCUUUUCCGUCACCAAGUCAUCCCUGGGUUACUACUGAACAUCCUUCUCAAUUCCCCCCGACCCAUGGAUGGCUGUUCUCCAUUGUCUGUUUCACCAGAUGUCCUCAAAACAAACAGACAGAAGAAGGAAGUGGCUAAUGGAGCUGUGGAGUCCAAGUGUGACUGCCAAGAGGAAUCCAGCAAAGCCAAAAAGCCCAAGCAUGUAGCCCUGCCCGAAGCACGCCACACGCAUGGAAAACCCAGAGGAAAUGAGUGAGGAUCAAUGGGAAGAAGAGAGCCAGCCAGCUCUGUAUUCUAAGAACCUGGAAACAAUCUUUAUUCACACUGUUAAGACGAUUGAGAAAAAUGGAUGGAUAGAGUUUAUUUGCUAAGAGAAAAACUGAGUGACUACCUAGCUACCUCACUCCUUUUUGCUCUAUUGGUCCUGUGACUUUGUACGACUCCUUUAACCUCUGUCAGCAUCAUUCUUCAAUCCUGCUUUCCUUAUUAGUGUGAGGAUAAAAAUAAAGCAAAUUUCGAAGUUGAAAGAGAGCUAAAAGAUAAUCAAGCCCAACCUCCUCAUUUUAUCAGUGAGAAAAUGAACCUCGCUCAAGGCAACUGAGCCCGAUAGAAGCAAAAAGUGUUUACCUGAUUUAGAGGAAGUUGAAGAUUUGUCCAGGAGCAGAUAGCUGAAGAGAGAGAGAGAGAAGAGAGAACGGCUUACAGCUCAGGUCCUCUCUCCAUGCUUAGGAACCACUACAAAUGCUACUGCCUUGAGUCUCAUUUUGUUUCCCUCUGGAAACCACAUGUGUACCUUGUUUGCAACAGUAUGGUUCUGGAGACCAGAAGGCCAAAAUCAAAAGUAUGGGCAGGCUUGAUUUCUUUAGAAGACUCCAGCGGAGAACUGUGUCUCCUUGCUUCUGAUUCUACAUCUCCAUCCAUGGGCCACUGUUUCAGCAACCUCAGCCAGUGCAACACAACCUCAGCCAAGAAGAGUAUGCAGAGAAAGGAGUCCCCUACCUGCCACAAAACUGUUGUCUGAAAACUGUCUCAUAUUGUCUCAAGUUGUCAUUCAUUGUGAAUUAGACCUGUUUAACAUGUAAUCUGCA